This 778-nucleotide ribosomal RNA is filed under the name uncultured Neocallimastigales. RNAcentral's name for it is "partial large subunit ribosomal RNA". It matches the Rfam family "Eukaryotic large subunit ribosomal RNA", at positions 24 to 645 of the family's 3401-position model. Lineage: Eukaryota; Fungi; Neocallimastigomycota; Neocallimastigomycetes; Neocallimastigales. The record is from RNAcentral.
UAUCUCUGUAGAGUCUGCAUAUCAAUAAGCGGAGGAAAAGAAACUAACUAGGAUUCCCUCAGUAACGGCGAGUGAAGCGGGAAGAGCUCAAAUUUGAAAUCUUCAAGGUUUUACCUUGACGAAUUGUAGUUUAAAGAAGUGUUUUCUGUUGGAGUUUUGGUAAAAGUUCUUUGGAAAUAGGACAUCAUAGAGGGUGAGAAUCCCGUAUUUGACCAUUAUUUCCAACUUUGUGAUACACUUUCAAAGAGUCGGAUUGUUUGGGAAUGCAGUCCAAAAUGGGUGGUAAAUUUCAUCUAAAGCUAAAUACUGGCGAGAGACCGAUAGCGAACAAGUACCGUGAGGGAAAGAUGAAAAGAACUUUGAAAAGAGAGUUAAACAGUACGUGAAAUUGUCAAAAGGGAAGCGUUUGACACCAGUGUUGGUUUCUCGAAAAUCAAUUAAAAAAGGAUUGGAUUUUGUGUUGUAUUGACUUUAUCAGCUUUCUGCACUCUUUUCCUUGUCUUUUUUAAUGCACUUUUCGUUUAACAAGUCAACAUCAAUUUCUUUUGUUGUAAAAGGGUCAUUGGAAGGUGGCUUUCUUUUCGGAGAAAGUGUUUAUAGCCUUUGACUUCUGCAAUCGGAGAGAUUGAGGUCUGCAGCGUAGAUCCUUCGGGGUUAGAUAGCAUUUGUGCUAAGUUAUAGCCUUUCAUAGACAACUUGUUGACUAUGAUCAGUCAUGUAGCUUACUCGCUUAUGCUAUUUUACCUACGCUUAGGAUGUUGAUCUCUCACAGUCGAGC